GACGAACGCUGGCGGCGUGCUUAACACAUGCAAGUCGAACGGAAAGGCCCAGCUUGCUGGGUGCUCGAGUGGCGAACGGGUGAGUAACACGUGGGUGAUCUGCCCCUAACUUCGGGAUAAGCUUGGGAAACUGGGUCUAAUACCGGAUAGGACAAUCGUUUAGUGUCGGUUGUGGAAGGUUUUUUCGGUUAGGGAUGAGCCCGCGGCCUAUCAGCUUGUUGGUGGGGUAAUGGCCUACCAAGGCGUCGACGGGUAGCCGGCCUGAGAGGGUGGACGGCCACAUUGGGACUGAGAUACGGCCCAGACUCCUACGGGAGGCAGCAGUGGGGAAUAUUGCACAAUGGGCGCAAGCCUGAUGCAGUGACGCCGCGUGGGGGAUGACGGCCUUCGGGUUGUAAACCUCUUUCGACAGGGACGAAGCUUUGGUGACGGUACCUGUAUAAGAAGCACCGGCUAACUACGUGCCAGCCGCCGCCGUAAAAC
This 483-nucleotide ribosomal RNA is filed under the name uncultured bacterium. Its description in RNAcentral is "bacterial SSU rRNA". It matches the Rfam family "Bacterial small subunit ribosomal RNA", at positions 28 to 526 of the family's 1533-position model. The record is from RNAcentral.